Molecule: ribosomal RNA, 501 nt
Filed under: uncultured bacterium
Lineage: Bacteria
Description: partial 16S ribosomal RNA
Rfam family: Bacterial small subunit ribosomal RNA
Source: RNAcentral
AUUGAACGCUGGCGGCAGGCUUAACACAUGCAAGUCGAGCGGGGGAAGGUAGCUUGCUACCGGACCUAGCGGCGGACGGGUGAGUAAUGCUUAGGAAUCUGCCUAUUAGUGGGGGACAACAUCCCGAAAGGGAUGCUAAUACCGCAUACGUCCUACGGGAGAAAGCAGGGGAUCUUUGGCCCUUGCGCUAAUAGAUGAGCCUAAGUCGGAUUAGCAAGUUGGGGGGUUAAAGGCCUACCAAGGCGACGUUCUGUAGCGGGUCUGAGAGGAUGAUCCGCCACACUGGGACUGAGACACGGCCCAGACUCCUACGGGAGGCAGCAGUGGGGAAUAUUGGACAAUGGGGGGAACCCUGAUCCAGCCAUGUCGCGUGUGUGAAGAAGGCCUUAUGGUUGUAAAGCACUUUAAGCGAGGAGGAGGCUACUUUAGUUAAUACCUAGAGAUAGUGGACGUUACUCGCAGAAUAAGCACCGGCUAAUUCUGUGCCAGCCGCCGCAGUAA